RNAcentral lists this ribosomal RNA (1452 nucleotides) under Triticum aestivum (bread wheat). Its description in RNAcentral is "partial small subunit ribosomal RNA". The record is from RNAcentral. Lineage: Eukaryota; Viridiplantae; Streptophyta; Magnoliopsida; Poales; Poaceae.
AUGCUCCACCCAGUGCACCGCCUCCCUGCCACCCCUUCCCGCCCGGCCGUCCACCCGCACGUCUCCCCCGCGCCGCCCUCCCUUCGUCUCCGACGAGUGGCCGGGACGAGGCCGACGACGCCUGUGGUAUGCUGCUCCGGUUUCGUGGGUUCGCUGCCUGUAGCGAAUCAGGGGAGCGAAUUCGAACCUCGAUCCAGAUCGAUCUAUGGGGGUCGGGGUUCCGUGGCCAUCGAUCCGAGAUUCAUGGCAUCGAAAAAUAGUACCAGAGGCAGAGGUAAACACCUAGCAUCACCUAGUGCUAGCUUAAAUCAUGCACCAUCACCAAGAUUUCGCCAUCGGAGGGGUUCACGGUUUAUCGUUCGAGCUGAAUCAGAUUUCUAUUCCGUACUGGGCGUGUCGAGAAAUGCUAGUAAAUCUGAAAUCAAGAGUGCCUAUCGGAAACUUGCUCGGAGCUAUCACCCUGACGUGAACAAAGAGCCUGGCGCUGAACAAAAGUUUAAGGAUAUCAGCAAUGCUUAUGAGGUUUUGUCUGAUGAUGAGAAGCGAGCGAUCUAUGAUAAAUAUGGAGAAGCUGGUCUGAAGGGUUCUGGCAUGGGAACGGGAGAUUACUCAAACCCAUUUGAUCUCUUUGAGUCACUAUUCGAAGGAUUUGGUGGAAUGGGUGGAAUGGGCGGGGGCCGUGCUGCUCGUAACAGGCCAAUGCAGGGUGAUGACGAGAGCUACAAUCUGGUUCUCAACUUCAAGGAAGCGGUGUUUGGUGUAGAGAAAGAGAUUGAGAUAACUAGGCUGGAAGGCUGUAAUACUUGCGACGGAAGUGGCGCCAAGCCUGGCACCAAGCCAACCACGUGUAAAACUUGUGGUGGUCAGGGCCAGGUGGUCUCCUCCACAAGAACACCACUUGGAAUAUUCCAGCAGGUAUCCACAUGCAAUACUUGCGGUGGCACUGGUGAAUUCUCCACCCCAUGCAAAACCUGUGGGGGCGAUGGCCGUGUGCGCAAGACAAAGAGGAUCAGUCUGAAGGUUCCCGCAGGAGUGGAUUCUGGAAGCAGGUUGAGGGUCCGUUCUGAGGGUAAUGCUGGUCGGAGAGGAGGCCCGCCAGGAGACCUUUAUGUCUUUAUUGAUGUUCUCUCGGAUUCAGUUCUUAAGCGAGAUGGGACAAGCAUUCUCUACACAUGCAAGGUUUCUUACAUUGAUGCAAUUCUUGGGACAACUGUCAAGGUCCCCACUGUUGAUGGGGUGGUUGACCUGAAGAUCCCCUCGGGGACCCAGCCAGGUACAACUCUGGUGAUGUCCAAGAAAGGUGUUCCACUUCUUGGUAAAUCAAAUGCUCGCGGAGACCAGCUGGUGCGUGUCCAGGUUGAGAUUCCAAAGCGUCUAAGCAGCGAUGAGAGAAAGCUGAUCGAAGAGCUUGCAAACCUCAACAAGGCCGAGCCAGCAAACAGUAGGAGAUGA